This 253-nucleotide ribosomal RNA is filed under the name uncultured bacterium. RNAcentral's name for it is "partial 16S ribosomal RNA". It matches the Rfam family "Bacterial small subunit ribosomal RNA", at positions 524 to 776 of the family's 1533-position model. The record is from RNAcentral.
UACGUAGGGACCGAGCGUUGUCCGGAUUUACUGGGCGUAAAGAGCGUGUAGGCGGCCACGCAGGUCCGUUGUGAAAACUGGAGGCUCAACCUCCAGCUGUCGACGGAAACCGUGUGGCUAGAGUCCGGAAGAGGAGAGUGGAAUUCCUGGUGUAGCGGUGAAAUGCGCAGAUAUCAGGAAGAACACCAAUGGCGAAGGCAGCUCUCUGGGACGGUACUGACGCUGAGACGCGAAAGCGUGGGGAGCGAACAGG